This 211-nucleotide non-coding RNA is filed under the name Enterococcus sp. RNAcentral's name for it is "T-box sequence". It matches the Rfam family "T-box leader". Rfam says of the family: Uncharged tRNA acts as the effector for transcription antitermination of genes in the T-box leader family. The record is from RNAcentral. Lineage: Bacteria; Bacillati; Bacillota; Bacilli; Lactobacillales; Enterococcaceae.
CUAAUAUCUGUGAAAGAGCGAGUAAGUAACUAAUGCUUUAUAAGAGAGGGACGUCGUGGCUGAAAACGUCCUAGAUAGGUUAGUUUCCGAAAGACACUCUGGAGAUGGACGCGUGCAAAGCCGUCCCGUUGACGAGCGUUAAUCGUGAGAGGAAAGAGUAAUCUUUCAAAUUUAGGUGGUACCGUGUAUGAAAUAGUCAUUCACCCUUGUU